RNAcentral lists this ribosomal RNA (232 nucleotides) under uncultured bacterium. RNAcentral's name for it is "partial 16S ribosomal RNA". It matches the Rfam family "Bacterial small subunit ribosomal RNA", at positions 15 to 228 of the family's 1533-position model. The record is from RNAcentral.
GAUCCUGGCUCAGGACGAACGCUGGCGGCGUGCUUAACACAUGCAAGUCGAACGGAGCACCCUUGACGGAGUUUUCGGACAACUGAUAGGAAUGCUUAGUGGCGGACUGGUGAGUAACGCGUGAGGAACCUGCCUUUCAGAGGGGGACAACAGUUGGAAACGACUGCUAAUACCGCAUGAUGCAUGACUGGGGCAUCCCGGACAUGCCAAAGAUUUUAUCGCUGAAAGAUGG